GCUCAUAUAUGGACCUGUACUAAAUUUCGGUGUGGAGAGAAGAACCGACCAGAAUAUCGCUGUUCCUGUUCAGAUGACUGUGUGAAAAAUAAUAAUUGCUGUGCCAAUUAUUAUGCAGUUUGUGAAGGGAAGACAAGCUGGCUUGAAGAUAAAUGUGAGGAGUUAAAUGAACCUCAGUGUCCAGAAGGGUAAGGCAAUUUGAUCUUCAUUUCACAUUGUUCUAAAAGUAAGCUACUUAAGGCUGCUUAUGCUUCUUCAGUGGAAAUAUAAACAUUUCCAUAGAAGAAUAAC
This is a long non-coding RNA of Sceloporus undulatus (fence lizard), 291 nucleotides long. RefSeq lists it as uncharacterized. Lineage: Eukaryota; Metazoa; Chordata; Lepidosauria; Squamata; Phrynosomatidae. The record is from RefSeq and is a predicted model, not a curated record. The transcript is spliced from 2 exons.